Molecule: ribosomal RNA, 468 nt
Filed under: uncultured bacterium
Lineage: Bacteria
Description: partial 16S ribosomal RNA
Rfam family: Bacterial small subunit ribosomal RNA
Source: RNAcentral
GACGAACGCUGGCGGCGUGCUUAACACAUGCAAGUCGAACGGAAAGGCCCUGCUUUUGUGGGGUGCUCGAGUGGCGAACGGGUGAGUAACACGUGAGUAACCUGCCCUUGACUUUGGGAUAACUUCAGGAAACUGGGGCUAAUACCGGAUAGGAGCUCCUGCUGCAUGGUGGGGGUUGGAAAGUUUCGGCGGUUGGGGAUGGACUCGCGGCUUAUCAGCUUGUUGGUGGGGUAGUGGCUUACCAAGGCUUUGACGGGUAGCCGGCCUGAGAGGGUGACCGGCCACAUUGGGACUGAGAUACGGCCCAGACUCCUACGGGAGGCAGCAGUGGGGAAUAUUGCACAAUGGGUGGAAGCCUGAUGCAGCAACGCCGCGUGCGGGACGACGGCCUUCGGGUUGUAAACCGCUUUCGCCUGUGACGAAGCGUGAGUGACGGUAAUGGGUAAAGAAGCACCGGCUAACUACGUG